This 352-nucleotide unclassified non-coding RNA is filed under the name soil metagenome. RNAcentral describes it as "partial contains 5.8S ribosomal RNA, internal transcribed spacer 2, and large subunit ribosomal RNA". The stretch from base 1 to 120 matches the Rfam family "5.8S ribosomal RNA", at positions 35 to 154 of the family's 154-position model. The record is from RNAcentral.
GAUGAAGAACGUAGCGAAAUGCGAUAAGUAAUGUGAAUUGCAGAAUUCAGUGAAUCAUCGAAUCUUUGAACGCACAUUGCGCCCGCCAGUAUUCUGGCGGGCAUGCCUGUUCGAGCGUCAUUACAACCCUCAGGCCCCCGGGCCUGGCGUUGGGGAUCGGCGGAGCCCCCCGUGGGCACACGCCGUCCCCCAAAUACAGUGGCGGUCCCGCCGCAGCUUCCAUCGCGUAGUAGCUAACACCUCGCGACUGGAGAGCGGCGCGGCCAAGCCGUAAAACACCCAACUCUUCUGAAGUUGACCUCGAAUCAGGUAGGAAUACCCGCUGAACUUAAGCAUAUCAAUAAGCGGAGGA